GGGGCUGUAGCUCAGUGGUAGAGCACUCGCCUAGCAUGUGUGAGGCCCUGGGUUCGAUCCUCAGCACCACA
Molecule: transfer RNA, 71 nt
Filed under: Marmota monax (woodchuck)
Lineage: Eukaryota; Metazoa; Chordata; Mammalia; Rodentia; Sciuridae
Description: tRNA.Ala
Rfam family: tRNA
About the family: Transfer RNA (tRNA) molecules are approximately 80 nucleotides in length. Their secondary structure includes four short double-helical elements and three loops (D, anti-codon, and T loops).
Source: RNAcentral